UUCAGUUUAUUCAACUAGUUGAGUGCAAUGACUGGCGCAUUCCAUUUUUAAAAAACAUAGUACUUGAAAAAGAAGGAAAGUUUGUUUUCUUCUUCCAAUCUAUAAAUAAGCGACAUGUGAAAAGAUAAGAUCUACUAGUCCUAAAAUUCUAAAGCCAUGGUGACCAGAAACACUCAGUUCAGUUCACGAGCUCCAGAAAGUUUAUUAGUUUAUUAGUGCAAUACAUUUGAUUUAAAAGAAAGCAUUGCUUGAUGCAUGCUAUUUUUGGCUAGCAAGUACAUUUAACAUUUUUAACUCAGAAAUAAUUUUAAUUUUUAUACACUUAUUGGCAUUCCAAUUCCCAUCCAAACAGAGUUUGAUAAAGGGCAUACUCAAUUGUAAUUGACAUUCUGUGAGGCUUUCCAGCUUCAAGAAUCAUUCCCAGGUAUGGCCUGAGAGCCAGAUGUGGCAUACCAGCCAGCACUGCUCCUUUGAGAUGACCCUUAAGGGGUGAAUCUUUGAGGACCCCCCAAACUGGAGUUUAGAGUUG
Gavialis gangeticus (Gharial) is the source of this 529-nucleotide long non-coding RNA. RefSeq lists it as uncharacterized. Lineage: Eukaryota; Metazoa; Chordata; Crocodylia; Gavialidae. The record is from RefSeq and is a predicted model, not a curated record. The transcript is spliced from 3 exons.